Molecule: long non-coding RNA, 457 nt
Filed under: Solanum tuberosum (potato)
Lineage: Eukaryota; Viridiplantae; Streptophyta; Magnoliopsida; Solanales; Solanaceae
Description: long non-coding RNA (STUB_LNC005267)
Source: RNAcentral
AGAAAAUAGGUUAAGUUAGCACAUUCCAGUAAGUAUCCCAUCCACAUUUUUUUUGAUGAAGUAAGUAUCCCAUCCACAUAACUCUAUGCAGUCUCAUGAUUGACAACAACAUUAUAUCAACACACCUAUCGAUAAAUAUUGAAAAUGAGAAUUCUGACUAAACCUAUCACUCUACAUUGCACAUCUAAUAUACAUUAAAACGGAGACACAAUUGGUUCGACACCUAUAUCCUUCGCACAUUUCUUAUACUCUGGCUUCAGCUAAAAUGUUCUCUUGGUUUCCUCCUCUUUUGUUGCACAUGCAAAGUUUAUUCACCAUAUCUUUCAAAAACUGUUGCAAAACAAGCAAGAUAAUCAGGUUACACCAUCUGGGAUGGGAUAGUUGAAAAUGCACUGCAUAGCUGAAGAAGGACAUGCAACAUCUUCCAAAUCAUUUAUGUAUUCUCCUCUCCUUUUUU